UCGAUGGAGAGUUUGAUCCUGGCUCAGGACGAACGCUGGCGGCGUGCUUAACACAUGCAAGUCGAGCGAGGUCCAUCCAGUGGCAACACUGGGGAAGACCUAGCGGCGAACGGGUGAGUAACACGUGAGCAACCUGCCCCGAAGACUGGGAUAACACCGGGAAACCGGUGCUAAUACCGGAUACCCCCAUCAGAUCGCAUGGUCAGGUGAGGAAAUGAAUUUUGCUUCGGGAGGGGCUCGCGGCCUAUCAGCUUGUUGGCGGGGUAACGGCCCACCAAGGCUUCGACGGGUAGCUGGUCUGAGAGGACGACCAGCCACACUGGGACUGAGACACGGCCCAGACUCCUACGGGAGGCAGCAGUGGGGAAUCUUGCGCAAUGGGCGAAAGCCUGACGCAGCAACGCCGCGU
This 409-nucleotide ribosomal RNA is filed under the name Actinomycetota bacterium. RNAcentral's name for it is "bacterial SSU rRNA". It matches the Rfam family "Bacterial small subunit ribosomal RNA", at positions 1 to 402 of the family's 1533-position model. The record is from RNAcentral. Lineage: Bacteria; Bacillati; Actinomycetota.